RNAcentral lists this ribosomal RNA (770 nucleotides) under uncultured bacterium. RNAcentral describes it as "bacterial SSU rRNA". It matches the Rfam family "Bacterial small subunit ribosomal RNA", at positions 8 to 796 of the family's 1533-position model. The record is from RNAcentral.
AGAGUUUGAUCCUGGCUCAGGACGAACGCUGGCGGCGUGCUUAACACAUGCAAGUCGAGCGGAAAGGCCCUUCGGGGUACUCGAGCGGCGAACGGGUGAGUAACACGUGAGCAACCUGCCCCUGGCUCUGGGAUAGCUCCCGGAAACGGGGAUUAAUACCGGACAUGACUCCCUUGGGCAUCUGGGGGGGUGGAAAGUUUUUCGGCCAGGGUGGGGCUCGCGGCCUAUCAGCUUGUUGGGGGGGUGACGGCCCACCAAGGCGACGACGGGUAGCCGGCCUGAGAGGGCGACCGGCCACACUGGGACUGAGACACGGCCCAGACUCCUACGGGAGGCAGCAGUGGGGAAUAUUGCGCAAUGGGCGGAAGCCUGACGCAGCGACGCCGCGUGCGGGAUGAAGGCCUUCGGGUUGUAAACCGCUUUCACCAGGGACGAAGCGUGAGUGACGGUACCUGGGGAAGAAGCGCCGGCUAACUACGUGCCAGCAGCCGCGGUAAUACGUAGGGCGCAAGCGUUGUCCGGAAUUAUUGGGCGUAAAGAGCUCGUAGGCGGCUGGUUGCGUCUGCUGUGAAAUCCCGGGGCUUAACCCCGGGCGUGCAGUGGAUACGGGCCGGCUGGAGGCAGGCAGGGGAGAAUGGAAUUCCCGGUGUAGCGGUGAGAUGCGCAGAUAUCGGGAGGAACACCGGUGGCGAAGGCGGUUCUCUGGGCCUGUACUGACGCUGAGGAGCGAAAGCGUGGGGAGCGAACAGGAUUAGAUACCCUAGUAGUCC